GACGAACGCUGGCGGCGUGCUUAACACAUGCAAGUCGAACGGAAAGGCCCUGCUUGCUGGGUACUCGAGUGGCGAACGGGUGAGUAACACGUGGGUGAUCUGCCCUGCACUUCGGGAUAAGCCUGGGAAACUGGGUCUAAUACCGGUUAGUAGCCAGGUUGAGUGUGAUGGUUGGUAGGAUUUUUCGGUGUAGGAUGAGCUUGCGGCCUAUCAGCUUGUUGGUGGGGUAAUGGCCUACCAAGGCGGCGACGGGUAGCUGGCCUGAGAGGGUGGUCGGCCACAUUGGGACUGAGAUGCGGCCCAGGCGCCGACGGGAGGCAGCAGUGGGGAAGAUUGCUCAAGGGGCGCAAGCCGGAUGCAGCGACGCCGCGUGGGGGAGGACGGCCUUCGGGUUGAAAACGCCUUUCGCUAGGGACGAAGCUUUUUGUGACGGUACCUAGAUAAGAAGCACCGGCUAACUACGUG
Molecule: ribosomal RNA, 465 nt
Filed under: uncultured bacterium
Lineage: Bacteria
Description: partial 16S ribosomal RNA
Rfam family: Bacterial small subunit ribosomal RNA
Source: RNAcentral